GGGGUGUGUCUUCACAUGUGACGCCGUUGGAUUCUAUGAAAUGGUUGGAUAUAGUUAACAAGGUUUUGGUUCUACCUUGAUCAUGCCUUUCUUGGACAACCAGCUAAAGUCUCCUAGCUCUCGCUUAUUACUUGCAAAGUAUGUUGUUACGACCUGGCAAAGACAUGUUUUACUUCUGCAACAGAAAGAGAUAUCUACACUGAUGACAAGCUGGAAAUUUUUGUCUUGAAUGCUGAGGGAACUCGAUGUGAAUGUAUGGAACUGAGGAAGGAUUGACGUGUUGUUGUAGUUUGCUGGAUCUAUGGGUUGCCACAAGUGUGGAAUGCUCGUAGCAUAAUUCGAGAGCUUUAAUUUGGAUGUUGGCUUGGGCUGUGUUCCAUGGUUCUUAGUUAUCAACCCUUGGAUUUGAAUUCUAUGAAGAUAGACGCGGGGCAUGAAGCUGAUAUUUUGUUACCCAUUUCCAAGUUUUAUUUUCUUUGUUAAAUUUUUAUACAUCUAUGUUUGUCUUUAAACUAUGGCAUACCAAAUACCCACUUUGCUAUUCAGUU
Molecule: non-coding RNA, 548 nt
Organism: Coffea arabica (coffee)
Lineage: Eukaryota; Viridiplantae; Streptophyta; Magnoliopsida; Gentianales; Rubiaceae
Source: RefSeq, a predicted model, not a curated record